Molecule: long non-coding RNA, 704 nt
Organism: Epinephelus moara (kelp grouper)
Lineage: Eukaryota; Metazoa; Chordata; Actinopteri; Perciformes; Serranidae
Exons: 2
Source: RefSeq, a predicted model, not a curated record
AGUGUGAUUCAAACUGCGACUGAGUGUCGGUCCGUGACUGGGUUCCUCCAACAAGAGUCCAAAGACGGAUCAGAUCGGCUAUGUUUUGAUAUUGUUAUGAAAAAUUGAAUAAAGAGGCCUUCCCGAGGACAGCUACGUGUUCUCUUCCUGGUUGAAAACAGCUGUUGUCACUACGACAACCAUAGACGCAGUCGGCUGAAGAUCGCCAGUUAACAGGGUCGCGAGUAAAUCCGGAACACCGUCUCUUUAGGUUGACUGCCUACAGACAGUUUACCCUCUGGGCCAGGGGCCAUUUGGGAAGGAAGAACCGGGUCCCGAUUCCAGCCUGUGUGGCCUGGCCUUCCACAGAUGUACAGUAUGAGUGGUCAUUGUUUAUGACCUGGUUGGUAAGUAUGUCAUCUGUCAAAGUGCCUGUGCAAAUGUACUGCUUAUUGUCUCCCUCUUCUGUAUCCUGUUGAAAUGGAUCGGUCUGGGUGCCGACACUGACUGUCAGGGUGUGCACACUGCCUGUCACCUGCUCUAUCUCCUCACUGAUGUCAGCCUCUGGGAAUUUGCUGCUGGCCACCAGUUGCAUGCAUGCCUGCCUAACCUGUUAACACAAAUGUACACUUUUUAGGUACCCAAAUGAUGUUAUCAGCCUUAACAUGAAAGACUUUGUACUUACAUCCUGACUACUGAUUUAUUAAAGAUUCAUAUACCCUAAA